AUGAGCAUCCGUUUGGAUUCCUGGCCAUUUCUCGUCAGCUUCACUCUUGGGUCUCCAGAAGACAUACCCAUGUUGCCUCUAGACGCCCAGCAAAGUCAAAGUCAAACACCUCUUGAAAAACUUGAGACGUUGACACUGGAAGGGCCCAAGAGCUUGCUCAGAAGCUCCGGAUUGUCCAGCUCACAACUUAUGGUUUGGAAAUGCUUUCGGUUCCUGAGACAUCUGACGAUUAGCAGAUGCAGUGAUCUUGUCCGCUGGCCAACAGAGGAGCUCCGGUGCUUGGAUCGCCUCCGCUCUCUGUGCAUCGUUGAUUGUGAAAACCUGGAGGGGGGCACUUCAUCGUCUGAGGAGGAGACCCUUCCUCUGUCCCUGGAGAAAUUGACGAUUUCAGGCUGCUGCAGUGUGGUAGCCUUGCCUUGGAACCUUAGAAAUCUUGCUAAGCUGAGUGAUCUCUGGGUGAAAAAUUGCGAUGGCCUGGAAGUGCUGCCUGAUGGGAUGUGUGGCCUCACUUCUCUUAGGAAAUUGAAUAUUUGGUAUUGUCCAGAACUGGAGGAAUUCCCCCAUGGUCUCCUGGAGCGGUUGCCAGCCCUCGAAGAAUUUGUCAUACUUGGUUGCGCGGGGUUGCAAACACGAUGCAGGGAAGGUGGGGAGUAUUUCCACUUGCUCUCCUCUGUACCACGCAAGUGGUUUGGUUGA
This 696-nucleotide ribosomal RNA is filed under the name Triticum aestivum (bread wheat). Its description in RNAcentral is "partial small subunit ribosomal RNA". Lineage: Eukaryota; Viridiplantae; Streptophyta; Magnoliopsida; Poales; Poaceae. The record is from RNAcentral.